This 253-nucleotide ribosomal RNA is filed under the name uncultured bacterium. RNAcentral's name for it is "partial 16S ribosomal RNA". It matches the Rfam family "Bacterial small subunit ribosomal RNA", at positions 524 to 776 of the family's 1533-position model. The record is from RNAcentral.
UACGAAGGGGGCUAGCGUUGCUCGGAAUCACUGGGCGUAAAGGGUGCGUAGGCGGGGCUUUAAGUCCGGGGUGAAAUCCUGGAGCUCGACUCCAGAACUGCCUUUGAUACUGAGGAUCUUGAGUUCGGGAGAGGUGAGUGGAACUGCGAGUGUAGAGGUGAAAUUCGUAGAUAUUCGCAAGAACACCAGUGGCGAAGGCGGCUCACUGGCCCGAUACUGACGCUGAGGCACGAAAGCGUGGGGAGCAAACAGG